RNAcentral lists this ribosomal RNA (61 nucleotides) under Lodderomyces parapsilosis. Its description in RNAcentral is "Candida parapsilosis partial 28S ribosomal RNA". The record is from RNAcentral. Lineage: Eukaryota; Fungi; Ascomycota; Pichiomycetes; Serinales; Debaryomycetaceae.
AUUCGACCUCAAAUCAGGUAGGACUACCCGCUGAACUUAAGCAUAUCAAUAGUGGAGGAAA